GUAGCAUAUUACUCUUCAUCAUUCCUCUUGACGGCAGGCCAUUUAUCCUUUUGACAUUAGAGGCAAUAUAAGAUAAACACUGAUUAGAUAGUGCAUACAACUAGAUUUUCAGUUUUGAUUUGCUUAAUUUGUGCAUUUUAGGACUGUGGAAACUGAUGCACAUUGUUAAGGUCAGAACCGGCACUUGGAAGCAAAAAAGAAUCCCAUGAAGUGUCCUUUUGAGAGGUAUUCAUAGGUGGAGAUGCUUGUUGCCUCAAAGCUAGUUGGUUGCUCUGCCAUUGCUUUUCAUUUGUGUGGGCUGCUGAAUUCUGAUAUAUUGCUACCUACAGGAUGUUGAAUUAUGAUAUAUUGCUGCCUACAGGAUGUUGAAUUCUGAUAUAUUGCUAUGGAGAUGCCAUACACGAAACUUUAUACCAAUCCAAAAAAAAAUAAAAUCAACCAUUUGAUCAAGCAUUGGUGUGGAACCAAGUAGUGGGUGGAUUAUUUGAAGAUAGUCGCCUGAGAGAAAUAUUCACUCAAUAUUCGACCUGGACAACUAAUAUGUACAUUAAAAAUUUUGCUGAUCUUCUGUUUUGAAGAAAAUCAGGCCAUUAAUUGUGGAGAAUGAUUCUUGAACAUGCAAGGCAUGAGUUUACAAUUAACUAUUAGGGGAGGAAUGGAAGAACCCGUCAGAAGAAAAGCAAGCACCUUCUGAAGAGAUUGCCAAGAAGUAGAGGGAAGAUUAUUUGCAACAAUCGGAGCUUUACAAACAGAAGAAGAAUGAGGUAAGUUUGCAUACAAGCAAUCAGAUUUCUUAUAAGAUAGAUCUGCAGAAAAUGAGAAUAUAUGUUAUUUGGAACUAGGAAGUGGCAACUCUUCAAAAGGAAGAUGAGGAAUAGAGAAAGGUUCAAAAGCAAGAAGCAUUGCAACUGCUCGAGAAGAAGGAAAAAACAGCGAACAUUGUUAAGGUUUAUAUACAUUAGUUGUCACUGCAGAUUCAUUUAUUCCCGUCAUGGUAGUUGGAGAAGGUUCAAUUGAUUGUAUUUCAUUUUGGCAAUGCUCAGAAAACAAAGGAGAAGAGAAAGAAGCAGAAGGAAAUGCGGAAAGUCGAUCCUAAUAAACUAAAGAAGCCUGCCACUUCUUUCCUUCUCUUCAGGUAAAAUGACUGUAAACAGACCCAAAUGGAUCCCCACAUCAACACCAAAUGGCAUUUAGAUUAUAUGUGGACAGCUCUAGGGAUAACAAUGAUAAUCAAUCCAAUAUCACCCAAAUUUCUUCGCAAUCCGGUAGCUAGAGAAAAAAAAAGAUUUUUUUUUUCCUUAGCAAUCCACUAUUUUGUACACUAUGAACCAUCUUCUCAUCAAAUGCUUUGCUUUUCUUUCUUUUUUUCCCUUCUUCCUUGAGGCCAUUAAUUGUGGAGAACGAUUCUUAAAAAUGCAAGGCAUGAGUUUACAAUUAAGUGUGUGGGAUAAUGAG
Magnolia sinica is the source of this 1455-nucleotide long non-coding RNA. RefSeq lists it as uncharacterized. The transcript is spliced from 4 exons. NCBI's taxonomy places the organism in Eukaryota, Viridiplantae, Streptophyta, Magnoliopsida, Magnoliales, Magnoliaceae. The record is from RefSeq and is a predicted model, not a curated record.